Molecule: long non-coding RNA, 1275 nt
Filed under: Coffea arabica (coffee)
Lineage: Eukaryota; Viridiplantae; Streptophyta; Magnoliopsida; Gentianales; Rubiaceae
Description: long non-coding RNA (CARA_LNC003298)
Source: RNAcentral
GGCACGCACGAGGACCUCCAAGAGGACCCUACUGUGGAAGUUUGAACUCUUCCUCCAAUUUACUUGCUUGCAUAACUUGGUGAGUGUCAAGUGUAUGCCUACUUGAACCCUAAAGUCUUGAUUCAUGCUUGAUUCACCUGAUUUCAUGCUUAGCUUAACUGAUUUUGACAAAAUGGAGUCGAGUGUGUACUUGAUCGCACUCGUUCUCAUUUGAAACGAAUGACUCAUGCUUAACAUGAUUUGCUUGGUUUACAUGACUUGAAAUGUCUGCUUAAACCUAUCAAAUGCUUGAAUACAUGAAAUGGUAUGCUAUGAUUGCAUACGUCGAUGGAGUGAAUCUCCUCGACAUUUACAUGACAAAUGGGGGACGCCCAAACUCAUAGGCCGACCUUGGAACUCGAGCCGGCAUGGGCUUGGUCGGGAACCUCGGUGAGCCAUGAACUCAAAUGAUAAGCUUGAUCUAUUGAGAGAUCUCGCUUGGCAUACUCGUAUAGUAUCGCCUUAUAAAUGUAGUGCGGGCCCGAAGUGGUAUAUGGUGGACGGAUGGGAAGUAAGUGGUGAACUACGGAUAUGAAAAUAUCAAUCCGGUUGACGGAGAGUCAUCACGGAAAGAUAUAUAAACGGUGUCGGCAAAUGUGGAACUUAGCUCCUGAGAGCUUCUAUAUCCUUGAAUUGUUUCUGGUUACAGUUUAUUGGUGUUAUUAAUUACUUGCAAGAUAAUACCUGAAUUGUUAUUGGGCUUGUUAUCUGAACUAUGUGGUUGCAUGUGUGUUCUUGGCCUCACGAGCGUUUUGCUCACCCUGUAGAUUUGUUUUCCUUAACAGGUUUGAACUCGAAGGUAAAAUGGAGAAGCCCUCUUGAUGUACUUUUGUUUAGGGCUUGUUAUUACUUUUGGUUAUGCCUUUGGUUUUGGAAUUGUACUUUUGGUAUGGAAAUGUGACCUUGAGAACUGUCACAGUUGGUAUCAGAGCCAUAUGCCGACAGUUGGGACCUUAAGUCCUUCGUCUGGAAAAGCCCCGAGCCUCUCGUUCGUGAAGAGUCACGAAGCGAAACUCUCCGUAGGGAAUGCCCGCGUGCGGGUGGUAAGCUGAUAGGUACCCCGUGAUGUGACCCUUUGGACGAAAUGUAAUCGGGUAUUCUGACGUGUGGUUUGGAGAAUGGAUGACUAUUAUUAAGUUUGAAUACUUCCGCAUUUAUUGUAUCUAAGUUAUUGGCUUGUAUUGUGUGGUCCGGCUAUAAGUUGAAUGGAAUUGCUUGAGUCCUGGCGAGAGCUAG